Marmota flaviventris (yellow-bellied marmot) is the source of this 566-nucleotide long non-coding RNA. RefSeq lists it as uncharacterized. The record is from RefSeq and is a predicted model, not a curated record. Lineage: Eukaryota; Metazoa; Chordata; Mammalia; Rodentia; Sciuridae.
CUGCUUCCGCCAUGAUGUCCUGCCUCACCUCGAGCCCUGAGGAAUGGAGCUGGCCUCCUAUGGACUGAGACCUCGGAAAGCCUGAGCCUUCAAAUAGACUUCUCCUCGUGUACAAUUGUUCUGGUCGGGUCCUUUAGUCACAGUAGCCACAAACCUGACUAUAACAUGCUCUAUUAUGGAGAACGCCCAGAUGAGAAGCUCACCUCGGAGACUCCCAAGCCUCCACUGACUCAGCCUCCUGACCUUGGCCACUCUCGGUCCUGGGAUCUCCUUUACUUCCUCUUCCUCUUCUGCAGGUUAUGGACUUUCUGAAAAAUAAAUGUCACUGAGCCGCCCUGCAUGGGCCCAACAUGAUAAACGGCUUCUCCUUCUUGUCCCGGAACACCCUUCAUGCUACAAUUUCCUGCAAAAUUCAGCACAAGACUCCAACACUUUUCAAAUGGUUGACAAAAAGAUCACCCUCCUACCCUGCCCAGCACAACACAGGAUUUCAAGAUUGUAUGUAUAAUAGGUUGCCCUUGAAUAAACCCAAGCCUGAAUUACUCAGACUUUGGGAAAUUUGUCAA